This 173-nucleotide ribosomal RNA is filed under the name Escherichia coli. RNAcentral describes it as "partial 16S ribosomal RNA". It matches the Rfam family "Bacterial small subunit ribosomal RNA", at positions 1 to 167 of the family's 1533-position model. Lineage: Bacteria; Pseudomonadati; Pseudomonadota; Gammaproteobacteria; Enterobacterales; Enterobacteriaceae. RNAcentral also lists the same sequence under 1 other name. The record is from RNAcentral.
AAAUUGAAGAGUUUGAUCAUGGCUCAGAUUGAACGCUGGCGGCAGGCCUAACACAUGCAAGUCGAACGGUAACAGGAAGCAGCUUGCUGCUUCGCUGACGAGUGGCGGACGGGUGAGUAAUGUCUGGGAAACUGCCUGAUGGAGGGGGAUAACUACUGGAAACGGUAGCUAAU